UGGGGAAUAUUGGACAAUGGGCGAAAGCCUGAUCCAGCCAUGCCGCGUGUGUGAAGAAGGUCUUCGGAUUGUAAAGCACUUUAAGUUGGGAGGAAGGGCAGUAAGCGAAUACCUUGCUGUUUUGACGUUACCGACAGUAUAAGCACCGGCUAACUCUGUGCCAGCAGCCGCGGUAAUACAGAGGGUGCAAGCGUUAAUCGGAAUUACUGGGCGUAAAGCGCGCGUAGGUGGUUCGUUAAGUUGAAUGUGAAAGCCCCGGGCUCAACCUGGGAACUGCAUCCAAAACUGGCGAGCUAGAGUAGGGCAGAGGGUGGUGGAAUUUCCUGUGUAGCGGUGAAAUGCGUAGAUAUAGGAAGGAACACCAGUGGCGAAGGCGACCACCUGGGCUCAUACUGACACUGAGGUGCGAAAGCGUGGGGAGCAAACAGG
This 429-nucleotide ribosomal RNA is filed under the name Pseudomonadota bacterium. Its description in RNAcentral is "Proteobacteria bacterium partial 16S ribosomal RNA". It matches the Rfam family "Bacterial small subunit ribosomal RNA", at positions 355 to 776 of the family's 1533-position model. Lineage: Bacteria; Pseudomonadati; Pseudomonadota. The record is from RNAcentral.